CGGACGGGUGAGUAAUGCUUGGGAAUCUGGCUUAUGGAGGGGGAUAACUACGGGAAACUGUAGCUAAUACCGCGUAAUAUCUUCGGAUUAAAGGGUGGGACUUUCGGGCCACCUGCCAUAAGAUGAGCCCAAGUGGGAUUAGGUAGUUGGUGGGGUAAAGGCCUACCAAGCCGACGAUCUCUAGCUGGUCUGAGAGGAUGACCAGCCACACUGGAACUGAGACACGGUCCAGACUCCUACGGGAGGCAGCAGUGGGGAAUAUUGCACAAUGGGGGGAACCCUGAUGCAGCCAUGCCGCGUGAAUGAAGAAGGCCUUCGGGUUGUAAAGUUCUUUCGGUGAUGAGGAAGGUGUUUGUUUUAAUAGAACAAGCAAUUGACGUUAGUCACAGAAGAAGCACCGGCUAACUCCGUGCCAGCAGCCGCGGUAAUACGGAGGGUGCGAGCGUUAAUCGGAAUGACUGGGCGUAAAGGGCACGCAGGCGGUGACUUAAGUGAGAUGUGAAAGCCCCGAGCUUAACUUGGGAAUUGCAUUUCAUACUGGGUCGCUAGAGUAUUUUAGGGAGGGGUAGAAUUCCACGUGUAGCGGUGAAAUGCGUAGAGAUGUGGAGGAAUACCGAAGGCGAAGGCAGCCCCUUGGGAAUAUACUGACGCUCAUGUGCGAAAGCGUGGGGAGCAAACAGGAUUAGAUACCCUGGUAGUCCACGCUGUAAACGCUGUCGAUUUGGGGAUUGGGCUUAGAGCUUGGUGCCCGUAGCUAACGUGAUAAAUCGACCGCCUGGGGAGU
This 784-nucleotide ribosomal RNA is filed under the name uncultured Actinobacillus sp. RNAcentral's name for it is "bacterial SSU rRNA". It matches the Rfam family "Bacterial small subunit ribosomal RNA", at positions 99 to 881 of the family's 1533-position model. Lineage: Bacteria; Pseudomonadati; Pseudomonadota; Gammaproteobacteria; Pasteurellales; Pasteurellaceae. The record is from RNAcentral.